UAGGGAAUCUUCCGCAAUGGACGAAAGUCUGACGGAGCAACGCCGCGUGAGUGAAGAAGGAUUUCGGUUCGUAAAACUCUGUUGUUAGGGAAGAAAAAAUGUAUAGUAACUAUAUACAAAAGAGACGGUACCUAACCAGAAAGCCACGGCUAACUACGUGCCAGCAGCCGCGGUAAUACGUAGGUGGCAAGCGUUGUCCGGAAUUAUUGGGCGUAAAGCGCGCGCAGGUGGUUUAGAAAGUCUGAUGUGAAAGCCAACGGCUCAACCGUGGAGGGUCAUUGGAAACUAAUAAACUUGAGUGCAGGAGGGAAAAGUGGAAUUCCUAGUGUAGCGGUGAAAUGCGUAGAGAUUAGGAGGAACACCGGUGGCGAAAGCGGCUUUUUGGCCUGCAACUGACACUGAGGCGCGAAAGCGUGGGGAGCAAACAGG
This 429-nucleotide ribosomal RNA is filed under the name Verrucomicrobiota bacterium. RNAcentral's name for it is "Verrucomicrobia bacterium partial 16S ribosomal RNA". It matches the Rfam family "Bacterial small subunit ribosomal RNA", at positions 355 to 776 of the family's 1533-position model. The record is from RNAcentral. Lineage: Bacteria; Pseudomonadati; Verrucomicrobiota.